AUUGAACGCUGGCGGCAUGCCUUACACAUGCAAGUCGAACGGCAGCACGGGAGCAAUCCUGGUGGCGAGUGGCGAACGGGUGAGUAAUAUAUCGGAACGUGCCCAGUCGUGGGGAUAACGUAGCGAAAGCUACGCUAAUACCGCAUACGAUCUAUGGAUGAAAGCGGGGGAUCGCAGGACCUCGCGCGAUUGGAGCGGCCGAUAUCAGAUUAGGUAGUUGGUGAGGUAAGGACUCACCAAGCCGACGAUCUGUAGCUGGUCUGAGAGGACGACCAGCCACACUGGGACUGGAGACACGGCCCAGACUCCUACGGGAGGCAG
Molecule: ribosomal RNA, 321 nt
Filed under: uncultured bacterium
Lineage: Bacteria
Description: bacterial SSU rRNA
Rfam family: Bacterial small subunit ribosomal RNA
Source: RNAcentral